Molecule: long non-coding RNA, 431 nt
Filed under: Salmo salar (Atlantic salmon)
Lineage: Eukaryota; Metazoa; Chordata; Actinopteri; Salmoniformes; Salmonidae
Description: lncRNA (ENSSSAG00000109180.1)
Source: RNAcentral
CACGAACGCGCAGGGGAUUACAGGAAAGUUUGAGUUGUGCGGAUACACGUCAGUUUUUUUUUGUUCGUUGUUGGUUUACUAAAGAUAGUUUGCUUUAUCGACUGUAUUUUUGUACUUGUUGUUAUUUUUGUAAGGAGAAAAGUGGUGUGCCUGAAGGUGACCAGCAAGCAAAUAUUUCUCAGCAGAUCCAGCUAGCUAAUCUACUUCCUCAGAGGAAGGUGCAUUGAGGGCUACAGCGAUAUUACAAUGAGGGUAUUUGAUUAAGCAGGCCGGGUUGGCGGAAAUUGCAACGGAUGAAAAGAAACUGAUGUCAUUGCUUUGUACGGGACACCCCAGCAGGUCCUCCAGCAGACGCUGCCCCUUCUGUCUUCCAGAUGCUGCUGCCCACCAUCAGACAAGUUAGAAAGCAAGGGCUGGAGGGGCACCAAAAU